Molecule: ribosomal RNA, 274 nt
Filed under: uncultured bacterium
Lineage: Bacteria
Description: partial 16S ribosomal RNA
Rfam family: Archaeal small subunit ribosomal RNA
Source: RNAcentral
AAACCAGCACCUCAAGUGGUCAGGAGGAUUAUUGGGCCUAAAGCAUCCGUAGCCUGUUCUGUAAGUUUCCGGUUAAAUCCAUUAGCUCAACUAAUGGGCCGCCGAAAAUACUGCAAAACUAGGGAGUGGGAGAGGUAGACGGUACUCGGUAGGAAGGGGUAAAAUCCUUUGAUCUAUUGAUGACCACCUGUGGCGAAGGCGGUCUACCAGAACACGUUCGACGGUGAGGGAUGAAAGCUGGGGGAGCAAACCGGAUUAGAUACCCGGGUAGUCC